ACGUAGGUGGCAAGCGUUGUCUGGAUUUAUUGGGUUUAAAGGGUGCGUAGGCGGUCCUGUAAGUCAGUUGUGAAAUACGGCAGCUUAACUGUCGAGGUGCAAUUGAUACUGCGGGACUAGAGUACUGAUGAGGUAAGCGGAAUGGACGGUGUAGCGGUGAAAUGCUUAGAUAUCGUCCAGAACACCGAUAGCGAAGGCAGCUUACUAAGGAGUAACUGACGCUGAGGCACGAAAGUGUGGGGAUCAAACAGGA
Molecule: ribosomal RNA, 253 nt
Filed under: uncultured prokaryote
Description: partial 16S ribosomal RNA
Rfam family: Bacterial small subunit ribosomal RNA
Source: RNAcentral